AAAUUCAGAUGCAUUAGAGAGGGACUGCUGUGAGGGGGAACGUGUGUCUGCUCGUGCCGUUUCAUCUCGUACAGAAAUAUGUGGAGGGUCCUUUGAGAACCGCCGGUUGAAAUUUCCAGUAAUGGAAUGGGUCCUUCACAGUGGGCUUGGCCUGAAGUGACAAACCUUGUAGACAAUGACAACAAGAAAACAAAGUGAACGCAACAUGGAGGAAACUCCAAAAAAGAACAAAUACCAUGUUGAGGAACACAGAAAAAGAGGAGUUACUCUUUAAGGCCAUUAUGGACACACAAAAAAUCUAUACUAUGUGCUAUUUAAUCAUCAAGUCAAUCACUUAUAAACUUAUACAAAACUGUUGCUUUACAGCUAAUAAAGAUUCUCAUAUAUGAA
Molecule: long non-coding RNA, 390 nt
Organism: Sphaerodactylus townsendi
Lineage: Eukaryota; Metazoa; Chordata; Lepidosauria; Squamata; Sphaerodactylidae
Exons: 2
Source: RefSeq, a predicted model, not a curated record